UAUCCCGUAUCAGUAAACUCGCAAAUACGCAGCGGAAUGAUAUAUUGAUGUCCUCCUGAAAUCACUGUGUAACCGCUGAGCCGACCAGACGUGAGUACUAGCGAUUACAACGUUACCCGACAACACUAACCUUGCGAUUGCAGCGUCUUAUAGGGUUACCCGAUUAUUACCGAGCCGUCUAGAAAUUGCCCAGUGAGUUAUACAUCUAUCUA
This is a non-coding RNA of Cinara cedri, 212 nucleotides long. The record is from the annotation of a GenBank genome assembly. Lineage: Eukaryota; Metazoa; Arthropoda; Insecta; Hemiptera; Aphididae.